GCCGCAAGGUGCAUGGCAGACGGGUGAGUAACGCGUGGGGAAUCUACCUCUUUGUGGGGAAUAACGCUCCGAAAGGAGUGGUAAUACCGCAUGAGAUCCAUGGCUGGGAUGCUGUGGAUGAAACCUGGGGAUCGCAAGACCUGGGGCAAGGAGAGGAUCCUGCGUCUGAUUAGCUAGUUGGUGAGGUAACGGCCCACCAAGGCAACGAUCAGUAGCCGGCCUGAGAGGGUGAUCGGCCACACUGGAACUGAGACACGGUCCAGACUCCUACGGGAGGCAGCAGUGGGGAAUUUUGCGCAAUGGGCGAAAGCCUGACGCAGCAACGCCGCGUGGGUGAUGAAGGUCUUCGGAUCGUAAAACCCUGUCGUCGGGGACGAAGGUGGGCGGGUUAAUAGCCUGUUUGCUUGACGGUACCCGGAGAGGAAGCCCCGGCUAACUCUGUGCCAGCAGCCGCGGUAAUACAGAGGGGGCAAGCGUUAUUCGGAAUUAUUGGGCGUAAAGGGCGCGUAGGCGGCUUUUUAAGUGAGAUGUGUAAUCCCCGAGCUCAACUUGGGAACUGCAUCUCAUACUGGGAGGCUAGAGUACUGGAGAGGGUGGUAGAAUUCCACGUGUAGCGGUGAAAUGCGUAGAGAUGUGGAGGAAUACCAGUGGCGAAGGCGGCCACCUGGACAGUAACUGACGCUGAGGCGCGAAAGUGUGGGUAGCAAACAGGAUUAGAUACCCUGGUAGUCCACACUGUAAACGAUGAACACUUGGUGUGGAGGGAGUUGACCCCUUCCGUGCCGUAGCUAACGCGUUAAGUGUUCCGCCUGGGGA
This 816-nucleotide ribosomal RNA is filed under the name uncultured bacterium gp8. RNAcentral's name for it is "bacterial SSU rRNA". It matches the Rfam family "Bacterial small subunit ribosomal RNA", at positions 83 to 879 of the family's 1533-position model. The record is from RNAcentral.